RNA transcript from Lycium barbarum (goji berry), 8177 nucleotides. RefSeq lists it as uncharacterized. NCBI's taxonomy places the organism in Eukaryota, Viridiplantae, Streptophyta, Magnoliopsida, Solanales, Solanaceae. The record is from RefSeq and is a predicted model, not a curated record. The transcript is spliced from 2 exons.
GUUAGUCGUUCCCUCCCCCCUAAAGUUUAAUUAGUUAAAGCAAAUAGUCCAUAUUUAGGCACAGUUAUCCUUCAAACAUGCACAUAAAGUAUGAUUAGUGUCACUUGGGGUUGUGAACCCGCUUGGAUGUUUGGGUAAAGUCAACUAAUGGGUUUAAUACACCAAGGGUAUUAAACCUCCUAGGUCAUGAAAGGUAUGCUCCUAAUAAAAGGUGUUGGUUUAGCUCUAUCUUAGGCUGACUAAGAGUUGUUUUCCUAUGACACAAGGCUCCCCCAAGCGGACAACUUGGGAGUGGAAGGUCCGUGGCUGUCGACUGCACCGCCGAUCGACUAAAUCCACAAGAUCAAUCCAACUAAGGGUGAUUUAGUAGUGUACGGCCGCGAACCGCGAAACCGCUUUAAGUGUGUGAAUAUGUGUGAGUUUUCCAGGAGUGGAAGAAAUAUGAACGGAAUGACAGUUUUAUCAAAGCAAAUAACACAUAAACAGUUUAUAUCAAACAUACAGUUUAUAUCAAACACACAAUUAAUAGCAUGUAAAAAACAGUUAACAAAUAAAUAAAGUAAUUAAAAUAAGCACACAAAACCUAUUUGAACUAAGUCCGUUAUGGUUAGAACCUAAGUAUUCCCCAGCGGAGUCGCCAAGCUGUUAUAACCCAUUUUUAACCGGGUUAAAUUAAAAGUACAACAUAUUGGUGAUUGCUAUUUUUUGUUUAUUUUAAGGAGUCGCCACCUAAUUAUUUAUGGUGAAUUAGGACACCUAAAAUUUAUUAAAGUUGUUUUAAAGUUAACUCCGUUUUAAAAAGUCUGCGAAACUUAAGAUUCUAGGUAAGGGUUCAAUUAGUCUAAAGGGAAGGUAUUAAGCAUCCUUUAAGACUCAUUAACAAUGAUUAACCGACCGGACUUACAAUUAAUUAGGCUAAGUAUAAAUAUCAUAGAAAAGAAAAUAGUUUCGUAAAUACGGCUAAGGUUAUAGACAUGUAAGAAUGCUAUUAAAAAUAAGACUUGUAGGAAAUAGUAAUAAUUUGUAUAAAAGAGUACUUCUAAUGCUAUUUUUAAAACACGACUUAUAAAUGUUAUUAAGGCUUUAAACGAAAGUGUAAUAGUGUUGUUUAAAAUAAUACUUGUAGAAAACAUAAUAAUUUGCGUAAAAGAAGAUUCUAAAUGUUAAAUGAGACUCAAAAACAUUGCUAAGGCUUUAAAUGAAAAAUAUAGUAAUGUUAUUCGAAAAAUAAGAUUUGUAGAAAGUAGGGUAAUUUACCUAUGAAUAAUAGCCUUUUAAAAGAUGAUUUGACAAAUGUGAUGUUUAGAUAAAAUGAUGUUAUAUGAAUAUGGUGGCAUAGGAAUACCUAGACUUAUAUUCUUAAAUAUGAUGAAAAGGCCAUAAGUUUCUUUCUAUUUUUUUAUCACUCUUUGAUUUAACCAAUUUCGGCUAAAAAAUAUGUACAAUUGGAUGAAGCUUAAGAGAAUGUUUAGAGAAUAUGCUUAAGUUUAUAUAUGCGUAUUAGUGAUGUUUUGAAAUUUCUAAUACAGUAAGAAUGAAAACAUGAUCUUAAUUCAAAAUAUGUGUUUGUGGCUUCGCCCUUGAAAAUGGCAUUAAUAUAGAUAAAUAUUAUAGGUACUAUAAAUAAUUUAAUAUGAAAGAAGGAAAUGAAACUAAGGAAUUAAUUAUUGUUUCUUCCUACCCAUUUUGCUAAAAUCAAACCCACUAACUCCGCUAAGGUUCACCUAAUCUAAGCAAAUAAAAACAAGCAAAGUGUUAGUCAUAUAGUACAAAUUAAAUCCACGAAGUAAAAUAAAAUAGAGGAGUGAAAUGAUUUAAAUGAGUUUAGCCCAUUUAGGACUGCUGCUGUUCACUGCUACUGUUAUGGGCCUCGGCCCAGCAGAUUUUAGUAUGUCGCUGCGGAUUGACUGCUACUGUAUGGAGGGUGACUCGAGAGGAGUUGUGUUGAGCCUUUGGCCCAACGCCAAAAUGCGGGAGAAGAUGACGAGUCGCUUGGACUCAUAUGCGAGAUAUCAUGCAAAAAAAAAAUGAAAAGAAACGAUUAGUAUAUAAUUCAAAGAAUUUUAAAUAAGAAGGAGUCAGACAAGAUGUUCUAUUCCUUGAAAAUGUAAUAACUUGUUUCAAGAUUCGCAAAUAGGUAAACAAAAUGACAAGAGUCGAAUUCCUAAUUAUCAGAAUGAAAUAGUUCAGUCUAAUUCUGUUAUAUCCCGUAUUUUUGAACGUCAGAUUAUUUGCUGAGGUGGGGCCCACACAUCGAUAUUUUUUUUGGGACAUCUGAAAAGUCAUAUGAAUCACAUAUGUGAAGUUAAACACAACUCAAGAAGGACCCUUGGGCCAAAUCAAAGUGGAAGUCCUCCAAACGAAUAUUUUUAAGAAAACGUUUUCGGGUGAUCUGACUUCUAGGGGCAAAAACGGUAUUAUAAGUUUGGAAUUUGGAAAAUACCAAGAAGUAGAAGUUGUAGAUAAUUGAAUUAUCUUUCCAACCAUAGGUCAUGGGUUCCCAGGUGACGUCGGUACAAGGAGAUAUGGACGUUUUAAGGUCGAAAGGUCAGUGGGCUAGACCCAACUCGGGACCAACCGGGUUAGGCCCAAAAAAAAAAAAAGGAAAAGAAGAGGCCCAAUAGGGUCCAUCCGGCCAUGGCUUGGAAAAUAAGAAAAGAAAAGGGAGAUCCAAGCCCAUAAUAAUUUAUCCAUGUGAUAAAUGAAUAAAAGGGCUAAUUAAUCAUCAUUUAUCCAUAGAACAUUCAAGAGAGAUAAGAGAAGGAGAAAAACAAAAUAAGAAGAGCAUAAAAAUUAAGGCCAUACGGCCAUGACCAAGGAAAUUUAGCCCCUCAAAAUCUUGUCCCAAAAAUUAUUUUCUUGUGGUAUUUCUACUAAUUCAAGGGUCCUCUACAACGUGGUAUAAUUGUUUCGGAAGAUAGACCGCUUGUUUUAUCGAUUUAACACUUUGGACAAGUGAAUAAAAUAAGGAGAAAAAGGUAAGAUUUCACUCCUUUUGUCUUGGAAGAAAUAUAUAUAGGUGUUGUGGAAUGUGGAAAGGAAUGUAGAGUAUGAAAAUUUUGUGUUAUGGAUAUAUAUAUGUAUGGCCAAAAAUGGUAUACAUGGAAAGGGAUAAUUAAAAUUUUAUUUGUUAUAUUAAUUGUGUUGUUGAAGCCUUGUGAUGGAAAUGGAGGAAAAUGGUUUAAGUUGGCAUGAAAAAUUGUUGAAAAUGAUUAUAGGAACUUAUGUGAUUUUAAUGUAAUUUUUUUUUAUAAUUAUGGAAAUGGAGUUCUAAAUGUGAAUUAUUAUGUUAGUUGGUGAAUUUGGAGGGAUGUAAGUUCAUAUUGGCAUGAAAGAUUGGUUGGUAAGUUGUUAUGGGAAAUUUUGUGAUUUUAUGGAAGAUUUAUGUAAUGAUGAAAAUGAAAUUGUUAAGGUGCAAAUUAUUAUUAUUGUUAAUGAAAUGGGAGGACGAAAAUGUGUUAUGAAUAUUUAUGUUGAAAAUUAGAAGUUUCGGAUGGAUUAUGGUUUUGGUGGAAAGUUGGUAUAUUUUGUAUAUCUUGUGAAUAUUUUGUAAAAUGAUAUGAAAUUCUUCCAAAUUGAAUUGGAAUGAUCUUGAUUAGUAAUGAAUAUGAAAACAUUGAUGUUGGUUGGAAAGUGCAAAGUUGGAUUAGAAGUUGUUGCAUUAUUUGGAAAAGAAUACUAUUCAUGCUAGAAUGCGUUUUAAUUCGAUUGUUGAUGUUGUUGGUAUUGUUGUUGGUAUGGUUGUUGACAUUUGGAGCCGAGUUAAAUCUCGGGGAUGCCUUAUUUAUAGGGGAGAUGCUGCCCAAAUUUUUGUAGACAAGUAUUGGUUAAGAUUGAAAUCUUAAAGCCUUACAAUUAACAUUUGGUAAUUGUGACCAAAUUGUAGAUUUUGGCGAACUUGAAACUUGAUGUUGGAGACGUGUAUGAAUCGGAAAAGGUAUGUAAGGAUUCACCCUUCCUUCUAUGGCAUGUCUUAAACGUAAUAAGUUGGAUACGAGCCUCGGGGACAACUCUAUUCUCCGAAAUCCGCACCCAAAGUUUCCCCUUUUUCAUUCAGUAGAAUUGAAUUAAAUAUUGUAUGAAAUGUUGAAAAAUUGCCUAAACAUCUAGAACUUGCACAAAUAGGACCCGACUACCUUAAAACUCUCACAAGUGACGUCAUGAAAUGUAACGUAUGUAAAUCGUGUACGCCACCUCAUUUGACCCGAGGUGGGCCCGUUAUUCCCGGAUUUUCUUAAUUGUUUCGUUUAUCGAACGAUAAGUAUAUGUACAUGUAUAUGGGGAAGAUUGGGAAAGAGAAGGCGCUAUAGACGCAUAGCCACCUGAUCAGUUGGAGUAUGUUACAUGAUAUCGUCCCGGACGCGGGAUAUAUGGUUAAAUGGAUCGGAGCCGACGCCUCGGCAAUAUGAUAUGUUCUAUGUUAUAUAUAUAUGAAAAGAAAUGUUUUCCAAGAAAGCAAAGUAUUAUAUGUAUAUGGAUCGGGCUGCACGUGCCGCAGCAAUACGUUAUAGUAUAUGCACAUAUGGAUCGGGCUGCACGUUCCGCAGCGCUAAGCAUGCAUGGUAUCCGCCAACGUGCCCUUAUAUGUACAGGUUGUGUUUCUACUUCAUGACAUGCGUUAUAUCUCUUUUAUGUUAUUAUUCAUGCCUUACAUACUCGGUACAUUACUCGUACUGACGUCCCUUCUUGUGGACGCUGCGUUUCAUGCCGCGCAGGUCAACAGGUAGACAGAUUUGACUCUUAGAAGCUCCAUCAGCAGUACUGUGGCAGCGCUCCAGUUGUUCCGGAGCCUCAGUUUCUUGGUACUACUUUUGUGUACAUAUUCGGGCACGGUAGAACCGGUCCUUCUUGUAUAUGUAGAUGUACUUUGUUUAGAGGCUCGUAGACAGAUAUGUAUAGUCAGAUGUUUUGUACUUUUGUGGUCCUCGUCGUUGUAUAAUGUGCUAGCAAAGUUUAUAAGUCCAUGUCUACAAUUAUGCCAUUAAUGUUAGCGUUGAGCAACAGAAAAAAAAAAAGAUACGGUAUAGUAUAUACGGCCCACCUAGUAGUAAAAGUACGAUACGAGAUAAGGGGUGCUCGGUACAAGUAUCGGGUACCCGUCGCGGCCCCUAGUUGGGUCGUGACAGAAGUGGUAUCAGAGCAGUUCGUCCUAGGGGUUUGUCUACGAGCCGUGUCCAGUAGAGUCCUGUUUAUGGGUGUGUAGCGCGCCACACUUAUAAACAAGAGGCUACAGGGCAUUUAGGAAAAAUGACAGUCUUUCAUCUUAAGAAAUCGUGCGAUAGAGCCAAGUUAAGGAUGUAACUAUCUAAAUUUUUUUCUGUUUAAUUUUCAGCAAUGCCUUUGAGAAAGAAGAAGAAAUUCAGCACAAUACUAGGCGCUGCGGGAGAAGGCACCAGCCGAGAGCCCCCGGUUGAACUUGGACAUAGUGAGUCUCAGAGUGUCACUCCCUCGCAUGCUACCUCUAUUCCUCCAGUAGCAGAAGAGCAUGAAGAGGUCUCCACUCCAGCUCCAGUGCAUCCAGUCCCUCCACCGGUUGCUUCGGGUCAACAAGUGACCGAGGCCAUUCAUUUACUGACACAAUUGGUUGCCGCCCAGGCACAGCGGCAGAAUGUGAGUUCAAGUGAUCAGUCAGCUAGUACUAGAGCUCGUGACUUUAUCACUCUGAAGCCUCCGGAGUUUUAUGGAUCGAAACCAGAGGAAGACCCGCAGAAUUUUAUAGAUGAGAUGCUGAGGACACUGAGGAUCAUACAUGCUUCGGAUACAGAGUCAGUGGAAUUGGCUUCAUACAGGUUGCGGGAUGUAGCAGUUCAGUGGUAUAAUAACUGGAUAUCUUCGAGGGGAGCAAAUGCGCCUCCCCCGGUUUGGCAGGAGUUCACUGAAGCAUUCCUGCGACAUUACUUACCACCGGAGGUCCGACGGGCUCGAGCCGAUAUGAUCUUGAAUCUCAAGCAAGGAAAUAUGAGUGUCAGGGAGUAUAGUCUUCAUUUUAAUUCUUUAGCCAGGUAUGCCCCAGCCAUGAUAGCUGAUAGGGGAGAUCACGUACACCGGUUUGUGAGUGGAUUGGGGCCACAUUUAAUUAAGGAGUGUCUGACAGCUUCCCUCCAGGAUGGAAUGACUAUUGCUCGUAUCCAGGCCCAUGCCCAAAACCUGGAGGAACAGUAUCAGUUACGGAGAGAGGAGCGCUAUUCGGAUAGGGGUUCCAGAAAAAGGGGCAGAUCUUCCGGGACUAGAAGCGAGUAUAGAGGGGGACAGGCACAAGAGCAAUCAAGGUAUUCAGGCCAAUCAGCGGCCAGUGCACCUCCUCGAUUUGUGGAUAAGGGAUUUGAUCGUUCUACUUAUUCAGGAGCAGAUCAGGGUACUAGAGCUUCAGGAUCCCAGUAUAGAGCUGAUUCUAGCAGGGUGAUGCCACCCCCGCCACGGUGUCCUCAGUGUGGUAGGCCACACUCUGGAGAGUGUCGCGCAGGUACACGUGCUUGUUAUACUUGUGGGCGGGUUGGCCACUUGAUGCGUGAUUGCCCACUGAGGAAUGAGGGAGACCAAACUCAGCCCGCCGGAUCCGCAAUUGGUUCAUCACCGUCCGUGCGCCCUCCUGGACAGGCUUCCCAGGCCCCAGCAGGUCGUGGUCGAGGUAGAGGAGGGGCACCCAGUUCAGCCGGUCCUCCGCACCGCCUAUAUGCAUUGACAGGACGGCAGGACCCUGAACCUUCUGCAGACGCGGCCACAGGUACACUUUUGGCAUUUUCUAUGAUAUGUGUGUGUUAAUUGAUCUGGAAUCUACUUUAUCAUACACCAUCCCUUGUGUUGCUGAAAAUUUCACAAAUGUAGGAAUAAGAGACGAAUGUAAAAAAAAAAAAAAAAAAAAAAAAAAAAAUCAGGCAACCUAAGUCCCUAAAAUGGAUAUCUUAAGCGACGCGUGAGAUAAUUACAAAAGAGACCUCCCCGAAGUAUUAUAAUACACUAUGAGGUCAGUUUAACAUUCGAGGACGAAUGUUCUAAAGGGGGGGAGGAUGUUAUAUCCCGUAUUUUUGAACGUCAGAUUAUUUGCUGAGGUGGGGCCCACACAUCGAGAUUUUUUUUGGGACAUCUGAAAAGUCAUAUGAAUCACAUAUGUGAAGUUAAACACAACUCAAGAAGGACCCUUGGGCCAAAUCAAAGUGGAAAUCCUCCAAACGAAUAUUUUUAAGAAAACGUUUUCGGGUGAUCUGACUUCUAGGGGCAAACACGGUAUUAUAAGUUUGGAAUUUGGAAACUACCAAGAAGUAGAAGUUGUAGAUAAUUGAAUUAGCUUUCCAACCAUAGGUCAUGGGUUCCCAGGUGACGUCGGUACAAGGAGAUAUGGACGUUUUAAGGUCGAAAGGUCAGUGGGCUAGACCCAACUCGGGACCAACCGGGUUAGGCCCAAAAAAAAAAAAGGAAAAGAAGAGGCCCAAUAGGGUCCAUCCGGCCAUGGCUUGGAAAAUAAGAAAAAAAAAGGGAGAUCCAAGCCCAUAAUAAUUUAUCCAUGUGAUAAAUGAAUAAAAGGGCUAAUUAAUCAUCAUUUAUCCAUAGAACAUUCAAGAGAGAUAAGAGAAGGAGAAAAACAAAAUAAGAAGAGCAUAAAAAUUAAGGCCAUACGGCCAUGACCAAGGAAAUUUAGCCCCUCAAAAUCUUGUCCCAAAAAUUAUUUUCUUGUGGUAUUUCUACUAAUUCAAGGGUCCUCUACAACGUGGUAUAAUUGUUUCGGAAGAUAGACCGCUUGUUUUAUCGAUUUAACACUUUGGACAAGUGAAUAAAAUAAGGAGAAAAAGAUUUUGGCGAACUUGAAACUUGAUUUUGGAGACGUGUAUGAAUCGGAAAAGGUAUGUAAGGAUUCACCCUUCCUUCUAUGGCAUGUCUUAAACGUAAUAAGUUGGAUACGAGCCUCGGGGACAACUCUAUUCUCCGAAAUCCGCACCCAAAGUUUCCCCUUUUUCAUUCAGUAGAAUUGAAUUAAAUAUUGUAUGAAAUGUUGAAAAAUUGCCUAAACAUCUAGAACUUGCACAAAUAGGACCCGACUACCUUAAAACUCUCACAAGUGACGUCAUGAAAUGUAACGUAUGUAAAUCGUGUACGCCACCUCAUUUGACCCGAGGUGGGCCCGUUAUUCCCGGAUUUUCUUAAUUGUUUCGUUUAUCGAACGAUAAGUAUAUGUACAUGUA